RNAcentral lists this ribosomal RNA (279 nucleotides) under uncultured bacterium. RNAcentral describes it as "partial 16S ribosomal RNA". It matches the Rfam family "Bacterial small subunit ribosomal RNA", at positions 506 to 784 of the family's 1533-position model. The record is from RNAcentral.
UGCCAGCAGCCGCGGUAACACGGGGGGCGCAAGCGUUAUUCGGAAUUAUUGGGCGUAAAGGGCGCGCAGGCGGUCUUGUCAGUCAGGUGUGAAAGCCCGGGGCUCAACCUCGGAAGUGCUUUGGAUACUGUCUUUCUUGAGUCCGUGAGAGGAGAGUGGAAUUCAGGGUGUAGCGGUGAAAUGCUUAGAUAUCCUGAGGAACACCAAUGGCGAAAGCAACUCUCUGGCACGUGACUGACGCUGAGGCUCGAAAGCGUGGGUAGCGAACGGGAUUAGAUA